GGGGAUUUAGCUCAGCGGUAGAGUGCUUGCCUAUUGAGCACAAGGCCCUGGGUUCGGUCCCCAGCUCCG
This 69-nucleotide transfer RNA is filed under the name Rattus norvegicus (Norway rat). It matches the Rfam family "tRNA". Rfam says of the family: Transfer RNA (tRNA) molecules are approximately 80 nucleotides in length. Their secondary structure includes four short double-helical elements and three loops (D, anti-codon, and T loops). Lineage: Eukaryota; Metazoa; Chordata; Mammalia; Rodentia; Muridae. The record is from Rfam by way of RNAcentral.